AGGGGGCUAUAACAUUGCCAAGUCGAACGAUGAUCCGGUGCUUGCACCGGGGAUUAGUGGCGAACGGGUGAUUAACACGUGAGUAACCUGCCCUUGACUCUGGGAUAAGCCUGGGAAACCGGGUCUAAUACCGGAUAUGACUUCCCGCCGCAUGGUGGGGGGUGGAAAGAUUUUUUGGUUUUGGAUGGACUCGCGGCCUAUCAGCUUGUUGGUGGGGUAAUGGCCUACCAAGGCGACGACGGGUAGCCGGCCUGAGAGGGUGACCGGCCACACUGGGACUGAGACACGGCCCAGACUCCUACGGGAGGCAGCAGUGGGGAAAAUUGCACAAUGGGCGCAAGCCUGAUGCAGCGGCGCCGCGUGAGGGAUGACGGCCUUCGGGUUGUAAACCUCUUUCAGCAGGGAAGAAGCGGAAGUGACGGUACCUGCAGAAGAAGCGCUGGUUAACUACGUGCCAGCAGCCGCGGUAAUAAUCGGAUC
Molecule: ribosomal RNA, 480 nt
Filed under: uncultured Arthrobacter sp.
Lineage: Bacteria; Bacillati; Actinomycetota; Actinomycetes; Micrococcales; Micrococcaceae
Description: bacterial SSU rRNA
Rfam family: Bacterial small subunit ribosomal RNA
Source: RNAcentral